Ictalurus punctatus (channel catfish) is the source of this 4465-nucleotide long non-coding RNA. The record is from Ensembl. Lineage: Eukaryota; Metazoa; Chordata; Actinopteri; Siluriformes; Ictaluridae.
UCCAGAUUUUAACAGUGUAAGCUUUUUACUAUAUCAACUUCAGUACAUGAAUACAGCUUGACAUUUUAAAGUCUAACACUUCUAUAAUUCCGUUUGUGCUGGAACAGGCAAAUCCACUGGAUUCAGAUGACUUAAAACUGAACUGUAGUUUGACAGAUCCCAUAUACUAACUACAUAAGUGUUUAUAUCCUCUAUAAAGAAGUCUACUUUAAAAUAAGUGGACUUUUCAUGUGAUGUAUGUAGAUACUGUCUCGAUCAGUAAGAAAAUAUAGAAAACCCACAAUUUAACUUUUACACCAGAAAGAGCUCUAAUUGUAUAUUUUAUUUCAUCUUCUUUUUCUGUUAGAGACACUUCAUAUAAAGUGGGACAGUCACUAUUAGGAAAUAAAAAGCUUUUUCAUUCAUCCAUCUGCAGUAAGUGCUUUAUCCUGGCCAUGGUGGAUCCAGAGUCUAUCCCAGGAACACUUAAGGUGUGAAUACAUCCUCAAUUGGACACCAAUUAAUCGCAGGGCAAUGUACACACACACAGACACACACAGACCUAAGGACAAUUUAGCAUGGCCAAUCCACCUACAGGGACUUGGGAGGAAACUGGAAAAGCUGGAGAAACCCUAUACAGACACGGGAAGAACAUUUGAAAUUUCACACAGACACUGAACCCAGCUAGGAAUCGAGCUGGGACCAUGGAGCUGCACCAUGUCAGCAAGCAAAAUAUAUAGCAAAAUUACACAUAACCAUUAGUUUAAUUUUUAAUAUUUACUUUUACAUUAAAUAAUUGUUGUUGUUUUUUUUACAUUAAUGUGGUUUUAUAGUGCAAAGCAUUUAAUUAAACAUUUUCAUUUAGUAGGCAUCACAAAGAAAGCAGAGCUGCUCAAUCAGACUAAGCUGGGGUUACUUCUAAAAACUGGUUAAGAACUAUUCAAACUUAAAAUGUAACUUCUAAGUUGAAUUUUUUAAAGUAAGACAGAACAUUAAAAAGGUUUAAAAAUACAGUCUGAAAUAUUAAUAAAAUGUUUGUACACAAUCUAAAUUAUUUACUAUUCUUUACAUAGGGCCCACUCCCUCUAUUAUAAGUUACACUGGGGGCCAUGUUUUAAGGCCACUGGUUAAAAUAUUUACUCUUCCUCUUUUUAAUUUUUUUUAACCUGAUUAUUAAAUGGUUGUGUGAACUAUUUUAUUUUUGCAUGUAACUAAAAUCCUCCACUGCACAUUUCAGGUGAUUCAGCUGCCAGGAUAAAGGGGUCCAGGUCAAAUUCUGGAACUGAGAACGGCAGAUCUGAAAUCACAUCAUCCAAGCAGGCAGAUGGCACUGUAAAAAUAAGAGAACAAUACAUUUACUCUACAGUUCAGUCUAAUCAAUUUAGGAGCUGAUGACAGAGGAAGCUAAAAUAUGAUGCAGGAAAAAAUUAUGUAUAAUGUAAAAAACAAAACAAAACCAUGACUGGUAUAUUAACUGCCAAAAUAGAUGAUAAAUUAUGCCAGACCUGCAGAAUCGAUGCUGGGAAAACUACGAGACACAUCAUUACUGUAACUCUGGGUUGGUGAGUUCCUGAAGUGCUCAACAUCACACAGAUGUUUCCCCUCUACAUCCUGACAUUUGGAGUCAGAAUUUCUGGUGACCUUAUGGAGUUGGCCAAGCUGUACAACAAAUAUGAGAAGAAUGCGAUUCAACACUAACAGUUCAGCAGAGUGUAAACAGUAGUUAAUAAACUGCAGAUAUACAGAACAUUUUGCUCAUGUCUACCUUCUGUGAGAGAGCUUCUGUCUGGCUCGGUGUCAGGUGAAGUCCAACAUAAGAUUUCUGCAAAGUAAAAUGAAGAGUAACAAACAAAACCGUGAUGUGCCAAAGGUCUUACUGUUUUCCUUUCCGUGUGUCUCGGCUUGGGACACUUCACAGGUUCAAACUGUGACAUUUUCUACUAAAUGAAGUUCUGAAAAACUAGUUACAGCAUAUUAAUGUGAAAAAGGAGAAAACUGCAUUUAAAAGAUCUCACUCAGAGGACUGGGCGGUGCAACCAAAAAGUGUUUGGCCUAUCGUUCAAACAUGAAUCCAGAUAAUGCCACAGGCAUCGUUGACUGGGAGUCUAAGAGAGCAAAAUUGUCCAUAGGAGGGACGGCGUUAUUCUCCAAUCAGAGUAACACUAAUCAGUGCUGGUCAUCUGUGAGCAAAAGAUGGCUAGCUUGAAUCACAGAGGAAGCUCAUGCUAGUCUUUAUCCUCCCAUGUAAAAUAUGUUGUACACUAGUAGGUGGGAAUUAUAAAUGAACGUCGAGAAAGUGGGGAAAAAAUAAUAAACGGUUUCAAUCAGACUCCACUAAAAGGUACAAACACACUAACUUUCUAAAAGCAACUGCUAUUUAUUGAUUUCCCAGACAUUUCAUUUAAUAUGCAAUAAAUAGUAUAUAAAUAAAUUAUAAGUAUUUUUUUGUGGACUAUAUAUUUGUUUUCUUAAAGAAAAAAAAAAUAUUUUAAUCAAAAGCUGAUUUUUCAUCAUUUGUGGCUGUUUUCCAGAUUUCAGCUACAAUGCUAUUAGACUUUACACACAUUCUAAUGUAAUGUAACAUGGAAUAUAGUAUUUAUUAGGACUGCUGUAUUAGUGUAAAAACAUAUGGGUGUCGUAUAAAGUAUUCAGUAUAUUUCUAGCUCUGGAAACUUGUGUCUUUACAUUCUGUAAUUUUCUAGGCCUGCGUAAGAACUGUGUACAUAGAUUCUGUAUACAUUUACUGGUGAAUGUGUGAAUAAAGUGAUGUUUUAAAAUUUAGCACCAAACUGAAAAAAAUCCCCAUGGUUUUACCAUCUCCCAAAAUUGGGAUUACCCUACACAAGUCAGGUUAAUAAGAACGAAGUGCAGCACUCACAUUGCGAAGCCCGAAUUUAUUAUCCGGUGAACUGGUGGAAGCCAUUUUAUUAAACUGGAGAGCUUUCUGAGAAUGGACUGGUUUAGAGCUGUGAGCUCUCCCUCUUUCAGUUUCUUGGACUAGCUUCUUGGACUGUAGUUUUGGCCGUUCCUUCAAGUGCAUAUAUGUCCCGAGAGAUCUUUGUCUUCUCAUAUCAGGGACGUUUUGUCGAUUUAAAGGAUUGUUCCAUGAGGUGCAUUCAUCCUGAGCUGCCAGGACAGUUUGAUGGUGAAGAGGUUGCUGAUUCUGAGGAAUUUCAUCUUUGCUUUGGCAGUGUAGCGGGUUCUGGUUGUCGUUUAUGAGAUGUAUUUCGUGAUUCCAGCAUUGGUUGAGUUGUUGGUAUUGCUGUUGGUACUGUGGUGGAAAUUGUUGUGUUUGUUGCUGUAAGUAUUGUUGAGUCUGUGCACAGUUUAUUGGUUGUUGCUGUGACUGUUGAUUACUUUGAGUCUGCUGGUACUGCUGUGGUGCAUGCGGUGUGUGUUUGUCUAGCUGUUGCUGUGGUGUGUAGUGAUAUGGACUCAGUAGGCUGUCCUGUGUUUGGCAUUGUCGGUUCUGAAGCUGCAUAUAAUGUGGUUGUGGUUUACACUGGGAGCUUAACAGCUUUGAGCCUUGCUGUUGGCACCAUCUGGUAUUUUGUCUGCAUCCCUCAGACUGAUGGAGCUGCCAAGACUGAGAAGAAUUAUGAACCUUUGGAGUCCCUGUUAGAGGAAAUUGACUGUAAGGAUAUGGUGGUGGUUUGACCUCUUGUCGUAGUUUUGCGCUGUUAAGUGCAACCCCCUGUGAGAAUAUCCAAAUCAGAGACUGAUAUUCCAACAGUUUAUAUAAAAUCAUUUGAAUUCACAUACAAAAUGUGACAGAUUAGAAAUACACCAAAUACAUGAAAUGUUCAUGCUAUAAUAUAAAAAAAUAUGCAAUGUCUUCAUAGUGAAACGAGUGUGCAAACUUUUGCACACAACCAUACUUGACUCUUCCAUUAAUUGCUUUAAUUAUUAAACUCCUUACAUUACAUUCAAUACAUUCAAAUCUUACUUGGGUUAUACAGGAGAGCGUGGGAGACAGAGUCGGUUGUUGCCAAAGCAAUUCUUCACCACUGGGCACCAUUAACGGGCUGAGCUGGCUUCUCCUUACUGAUGAAGUCGUAUGCGACACCGUUACCUGCCCACUAGUACGUGGUGAGCAGGAGAGAGAAGAUGAGGAGCAAGAGCGAGAUGCACCGAUCCCACUACUAUAGCUGCAGCUGCUAGCUGUUGACUGGAAAGACUGGUUACUCAGAGACAAGCUACUAACGGAGGACCGCAGGGACUGGCUACUAAGGGAGGACUUCAGGGACGAGCUGCUUAGUGACGUGCACAGGGACGUAGAGCUUAGAGAGUCAUGUAGUGAAGGGCUGCUAAGCGUCGUCUGGAGAUUAGGGUUGCUGAGAGAAGACUGAAGCAAGGGAUUACCGACGAGCGCCUGGAGAGAUGAUAACAAACCUGAGAAAAGAAGGAAAAAAAGGACCAUUACAAACCAGUUACCUCAGAGGUUCACAUCACUGAAAUGUCUGGACAUUGUGCAGAAUCAUCAAAU